RNAcentral lists this ribosomal RNA (548 nucleotides) under uncultured prokaryote. Its description in RNAcentral is "bacterial SSU rRNA". It matches the Rfam family "Bacterial small subunit ribosomal RNA", at positions 355 to 897 of the family's 1533-position model. The record is from RNAcentral.
UGGGGAAUUUUGGACAAUGGGGGAAACCCUGAUCCAGCAAUGCCGCGUGAGUGAAGAAGGCCUUCGGGUUGUAAAGCUCUUUUGUCAGGGAAGAAACACCGGCUCUAACACAGUCCGGGAAUGACGGUACCUGAAGAAUAAGCACCGGCUAACUACGUGCCAGCAGCCGCGGUAAUACGUAGGGUGCAAGCGUUAAUCGGAAUUACUGGGCGUAAAGCGUGCGCAGGCGGUUAUACAAGACAGGCGUGAAAUCCCCGGGCUUAACCUGGGAAUGGCGCCUGUGACUGUAUAGCUAGAGUGUGUCAGAGGGGGGUAGAAUUCCACGUGUAGCAGUGAAAUGCGUAGAUAUGUGGAGGAAUACCAAUGGCGAAGGCAGCCCCCUGGGAUAACACUGACGCUCAUGCACGAAAGCGUGGGGAGCAAACAGGAUUAGAUACCCUGGUAGUCCACGCCCUAAACGAUGCUGACUAGUCGUUCGGGAUUUACAUCCUGAGUAACGUAGCUAACGCGUGAAGUCAGCCGCCUGGGGAGUACGGUCGCAAGAUUAA